RNAcentral lists this ribosomal RNA (429 nucleotides) under Bellerus sp. RDB-1999. RNAcentral's name for it is "eukaryotic LSU rRNA". The record is from RNAcentral. Lineage: Eukaryota; Metazoa; Arthropoda; Insecta; Hymenoptera; Eulophidae.
CCUGAGAAACCCAAAGAUCGAAUGGGGAGAUUCAUCGUCAGCGGCGUUGGCUUCCGUGUGGUUCACGAUGUUCGAGACUUCGGUCUUGCGUCACGCGUCCACUGCGGUAUGUCCGGAGUCGUCGGCGUGCACUUCUCCCCUAGUAGGACGUCGUGACCCGUUGGGUGUCGGUUACGGUCUGGUGGUUGCCUGUCCGUCGCAUUUAUGCGCGCGGAGCAGACCGUGUACCGACCAACUGCCCGGCGGUACUCGCACGGUAUCGGGCCGCACCUUACGUGCGUUCGGGCCCGUCGGCAAGCGCGAUCAGUGUUCCGGAGGUGCGGACCUAGUGCCGUCCCCGGGCGCUGGUCAGCUGUUGGUCGGCGGUGUUCUCGGACAGGCUCAUCCAAAAUGAUACCGGUCGGCGACGCUACUGCUUUGGGUACUUUC